This 162-nucleotide transfer RNA is filed under the name Endocarpon pusillum. Its description in RNAcentral is "tRNA-Und (NNN) (tRNA-Und-NNN-2-1)". Lineage: Eukaryota; Fungi; Ascomycota; Eurotiomycetes; Verrucariales; Verrucariaceae. The record is from RNAcentral.
GGGAGGAUGGCCGAGCGGUUAAGGCGCUGUGUUUAGGUCUUAUUGCCUGAAUCCCGCAGUGGGAAACCUCGUGGUGAGACUUGAGCAACAUUCCUACAUAGGUCCGAUUUGAACAUGUAUAUUAAUUUUCGUUUCUAUAGGGUUCGAAUCCCACUCCUCUCA